Molecule: ribosomal RNA, 424 nt
Filed under: uncultured bacterium
Lineage: Bacteria
Description: bacterial SSU rRNA
Rfam family: Bacterial small subunit ribosomal RNA
Source: RNAcentral
UGAGUAACACGUAGGUAACUACUCUAAGACGAGGAUAACGACUGGAAACGGUCGCUAAAACUGGAUAGGAUCAUUUGAGGCAUCUCGAAUGAUUUAAAGGGGCUUUCAAGCCACACUUAGAGAAAGGCCUGCGGCGCAUUAGCUAGUUGGUGGGGUAGAGGCCUACCAAGGCGAUGAUGCGUAGCCGGACUGAGAGGUCGAACGGCCACAUUGGGACUGAGACACGGCCCAAACUCCUACGGGAGGCAGCAGUAGGGAAUUUUCGGCAAUGGGGGAAACCCUGACCGAGCAACGCCGCGUGAAUGAAGAACGUAUUUCGGUAUGUAAAGUUCUUUUAUUAAGGAAGAAUAUCACGGAUAGGAAAUGAUCUGUGAGUGACGGUACUUAAUGAAUAAGCCCCGGCUAACUAUGUGCCAGCCGCUGC